Non-coding RNA from Podarcis lilfordi (Lilford's wall lizard), 105 nucleotides. The record is from the annotation of a GenBank genome assembly. NCBI's taxonomy places the organism in Eukaryota, Metazoa, Chordata, Lepidosauria, Squamata, Lacertidae.
UUGGAUGACCCAGAGUUCUAGAAUUAUGGAGGAGGGGGGAAAUGCUCCCUCCACAUCAAACAUUUUCCCCCUCCCUCAUAAUUCUAGAACUCUGGGUCAUCUAAU